This 301-nucleotide ribosomal RNA is filed under the name uncultured bacterium. Its description in RNAcentral is "partial 16S ribosomal RNA". It matches the Rfam family "Bacterial small subunit ribosomal RNA", at positions 509 to 807 of the family's 1533-position model. The record is from RNAcentral.
CAGCAGCCGCGGGAAUACGAAGGGGGCUAGCGUUGUUCGGAUUUACUGGGCGUAAAGCGCACGUAGGCGGACUUUUAAGUCAGGGGUGAAAUCCCGGGGCUCAACCCUGGAAUGUCGGCGGAUACUGCUCAGCUGGAGUACGGGAGGGGCGAGUGGAAUUCCGCGUGUAGCAGUGAAAUGCGUAGAUAUGCGGAGGAACACCGAUGGCGAAGGCAGCCCCCUGGGCCAAUACUGACGCUCAUGCACGAAAGCGUGGGGAGCAAACAGGAUUAGAUACCCCAGUAGUCCCUGUCUCUUAUAC